UACGUAGGGUGCAAGCGUUAAUCGGAAUUACUGGGCGUAAAGCGUGCGCAGGCGGUGAUGUAAGACAGGUGUGAAAUCCCCGGGCUUAACCUGGGAACUGCAUUUGUGACUGCAAGGCUGGAGUACGGUAGAGGGGGAUGGAAUUCCGCGUGUAGCAGUGAAAUGCGUAGAUAUGCGGAGGAACACCGAUGGCGAAGGCAAUCCCCUGGACCUGUACUGACGCUCAUGCACGAAAGCGUGGGGAGCAAACGGG
This 253-nucleotide ribosomal RNA is filed under the name uncultured bacterium. Its description in RNAcentral is "partial 16S ribosomal RNA". It matches the Rfam family "Bacterial small subunit ribosomal RNA", at positions 524 to 776 of the family's 1533-position model. The record is from RNAcentral.